RNAcentral lists this ribosomal RNA (301 nucleotides) under uncultured bacterium. Its description in RNAcentral is "partial 16S ribosomal RNA". It matches the Rfam family "Bacterial small subunit ribosomal RNA", at positions 509 to 808 of the family's 1533-position model. The record is from RNAcentral.
CAGCAGCCGCGGUAAUACGAAGGGUGCAAGCGUUACUCGGAAUUACUGGGCGUAAAGCGUGCGUAGGUGGUUGUUUAAGUCUGCUGUGAAAGCCUUGGGCUCAACCUGGGAAUUGCAGUGGAUACUGGCGACUAGAGUAAGGUAGAGGAUAGUGGAAUUUCCGGUGUAGCAGUGAAAUGCGUAGAGAUCGGAAGGAACAUCUGUGGCGAAGGCGACUAUCUGGGCCAUUACUGACACUGAGGCACGAAAGCGUGGGGAGCAAACAGGAUUAGAUACCCGGGUAGUCCCUGUCUCUUAUACA